UACGUAGGGUGCAAGCGUUGUCCGGAAUUAUUGGGCGUAAAGAGCUCGUAGGCGGUUUGUUGCGUCGGCUGUGAAAACCUGAGGCUCAACCUCAGGCCUGCAGUCGAUACGAGCAGACUAGAGUGUUGCAGGGGAGACUGGAAUUCCUGGUGUAGCGGUGAAAUGCGCAGAUAUCAGGAGGAACACCGGUGGCGAAGGCGGGUCUCUGGGCAACAACUGACGCUGAGGAGCGAAAGCGUGGGGAGCGAACAGGAUUAGAUACCCUGGUAGUCCACGCCGUAAACGUUGGGCGCUAGGUGUGGGGCUCAUUCCACGAGUUCCGUGCCGCAGCUAACGCAUUAAGCGCCCCGCCUGGGGAGUACGGCCGCAAGGCUAAA
RNAcentral lists this ribosomal RNA (377 nucleotides) under uncultured bacterium. RNAcentral's name for it is "bacterial SSU rRNA". It matches the Rfam family "Bacterial small subunit ribosomal RNA", at positions 524 to 898 of the family's 1533-position model. The record is from RNAcentral.